UCCGACGUACCCGCUAUGUUCAUUCUCCGUCCUUACCACGAGUUUGAUUUUUUUAAAUUUAACUCGGGAGAGCUCUUGGAAUGAACUUGCACCGUGGGACAGGGCUAUCAGUCUCUCCACAGUUUAUGAUAUGCUGUAUUCUCAGGAUUUUAAUGCUUAUAACUGUAAAAUUGAUCAGCAGAGACUCUAAUAUUUUUUAAUUAUAUGCUAGGUUUUUUUUUUUUUUUCGACAAGAGAAAAAGAAAGGGCUUACCUGUAAAAUAGACGUUGAUUAAACAGCUCUUCUCUGGUCUUUGACCACAACUGGUGAAAUAAGCAAAUGAAUGUAAACUGCUCAUUUUUUUUUUGGCAGCGUUCAUAUAUAUAGAUAGAUACAAAUCAGUUUGGUCUUUGCGUUUUUGGAAAUUAAAAAUGGUCGAUUUUCCAAAUGUCAUCGGGCAAAGAGAAACUGAACCUGCCUCCUAAAUAAAGCAAGUUUUAUUGCCAGCAUUCUUGUCUACCUUCGAUUUUCCAGCAUCUGCAGUUCCUUCUUAGACAACAAAUAAAACGUUUCAUUGCCAAAUGUCUUGGCACCGCAUAAUUGUGGCAGUAAUCAUUCCAAGAGAGGAUUUUUAAGUCUACUUUGAAGACGGUGUGUAUUACCAGCAGUUAUACCAGCUUUGGUUCCCAAACUUAAAUCGUCGAACAGGUUGAAGAAAUCAAAAUCUUUUAUCGGGGGAAAAUGCACUUUUUGUAUGAAAAAGUUAUGGAUGAUAAUGUGUAUAAUGUGCUGUUUUUUUUUAUUAUUGAUGUCAGAGAGGCUUGGCCCUCGCUUUCCACACUGUGUUUUCGAUGGAGAUAUAAAACUCUCGUGGAUUUACUAAGUAACAUAAUUACUAAGUGAACCAGAUUGGAAAGGACCUCUUAAUUCUGUAUAUACACCUGUGCCUUGUAUUACAUGAACAGCAAUUGCCUACUGCUGAGGUUUAUGUGCCAAUGUAAUUCUGGGUUUCAUAUUUUUUUACAAAAAUGCAAGAAAUAAAGAUCCUCAGAACCA
Molecule: long non-coding RNA, 1036 nt
Organism: Amblyraja radiata (thorny skate)
Lineage: Eukaryota; Metazoa; Chordata; Chondrichthyes; Rajiformes; Rajidae
Exons: 2
Source: RefSeq, a predicted model, not a curated record